This 510-nucleotide ribosomal RNA is filed under the name Triticum aestivum (bread wheat). RNAcentral's name for it is "partial small subunit ribosomal RNA". Lineage: Eukaryota; Viridiplantae; Streptophyta; Magnoliopsida; Poales; Poaceae. The record is from RNAcentral.
AUGUUGUCACCCACCUUGGAGUUGGCGUGUUGGAACGUGCGCGGUCUCAAUAGUUCGGUCAAGAAGAAGGCGCUUCGGGAGUUUGCGGAUACGGCACACCCUUCGAUUUUUUGUAUCCAAGAGACUAAACUCGCCUGUAUUGAUACUUUAAUGGUGAUGCAAUGCCUGGGCCCAGUGUACGAUGGGCUUUACUACUUCCCAGCCUCUGACACUAGGGGUGGAGUCCUAUUAUCUUGGAAAUCGGAGUUGGUGAGCAUCACGAAUUGCGUGCGGGACACGAACUUCAUUUCUAGCUUCGUUUCGCCCACGGAUUGUGCGCCCUGGUGGCUUACCACGGUUUACGGCCCCCGGGAGGAUCAGGAAAAAAUGAUUUUCCUUGUGGAAUUGGACGCUAGGAGAGCGCUAUGGCCGAGAGCAUGGCUGGUUAUUGGAGACUUUAACAUGAUCCUCCAAGCCACGAACAAGAACAACUCGCUCAUUGAUAGAUGCAUGAUGCAUAAAUUCCGCUAG